GAUUAACGCUGGCGGCGUGCAUAACACAUGCAAGUCGAACGAUGAAACUUAGUAGACUUCUUCGGAAAGACACUAAGCGGAUUAGUGGCGAACGGGUGAGUAACGCGUGAGUAACCUGCCUUACACAAGGGGAUAGCCUUUGGAAACGAAGAAUAUUACCCUAUAAAACUAUAAAAGCACAUGCUAUAAUGGUCAAAGUGAUAGCGGUGUAAGAUGGACUUGCGUCUGAUUAGCUAGUUGGUGAGAUAAAAGCUCACCAAGGCAACGAUCAGUAGCCGGCUUGAGAGAGUGUACGGCCACAUUGGGACUGAGACACGGCCCAGACUCCUACGGGAGGCAGCAGUGGGGAAUUUUGCACAAUGGGGGAAACCCUGAUGCAGCGACGCCGCGUGAUUUAGAAGGCCUUCGGGUUGUAAAAAUCUUUUGUAUAGGAAGAAAAUGACAGUACUAUACGAAUAAGGUCCGGCUAAUUACGUG
This 477-nucleotide ribosomal RNA is filed under the name uncultured bacterium. Its description in RNAcentral is "partial 16S ribosomal RNA". It matches the Rfam family "Bacterial small subunit ribosomal RNA", at positions 28 to 507 of the family's 1533-position model. The record is from RNAcentral.